This 1267-nucleotide ribosomal RNA is filed under the name metagenome. Its description in RNAcentral is "bacterial LSU rRNA". It matches the Rfam family "Bacterial large subunit ribosomal RNA", at positions 1641 to 2925 of the family's 2925-position model. The record is from RNAcentral.
UUCGUACCGCAAACCGACACAGGUAGGUGAGUAGAAGAUACCCAGGCGAACGGGAGAACCUUCGUUAAGGAAUUAGGCAAAUUAGCCCCGUAAGUUCGCAAUAAGGGGUGCCACCGCAAGGUGGUCGCAGUGAAAGGGCUCUGCUGACUGUUUAACUAAACCACAGGUCUCUGCGAAAGCGAAAGCUGAAGUAUAGGGGCUGAAGCCUGCCCAGUGCUGGAAGGUUAAGAGGAGGGGUCAACCGCAAGGUGAAGCUCCGAAUUGAAGCCCCAGUGAACGGCGGCCGUAACUAUAACGGUCCUAAGGUAGCGAAAUUCCUUGUCGGGUAAGUUCCGACCCGCACGAAUGGCCUAACGAGUAGAGCACUGUCUCAACGAAGGACCCGGCGAAAUUGAAAUACGUGUGAAGAUGCGCGUUACCCGCACUAGGACAAAAAGACCCCGUGGAGCUUUACUAUAGUUUGCCAUUGCGUUAGGACACAGUCUGUGUAGGAUAGCUGGGAGGCGGAGAAGCUAGUGCGCUAGCAUCGGUGGAGCCAACGGUGAAAUACCAGCCUGAGUGUGUCUUGGCCCUAACCUUGCCCGUGAUCCGGGCGAGAGACAGUGGCAGAUGGGUAGUUUGACUGGGGCGGUCGCCUCCUAAAAGGUAGCGGAGGCGCCCAAAGGUUCCCUCAGGUGGAAUGGAAACCCACCAUUGAGUGUACAGGCAUAAGGGAGCUUGACUGCGAGUCGGACAGGACGAGCAGAGACGAAAGUCGGGCUGAGUGAUCCCACGGUACCGAGUGGAAGGGCCGUGGCUUAUCGGACAAAAGCUACCCCGGGGAUAACAGGCUGGUGAUAUCCAAGAGUUCACAUCGACGAUAUCGCUCGGCACCUCGAUGUCGGCUCAUCGCAUCCUGGGGCUGGAUAAGGUCCCAAGGGUUGGGCUGUUCGCCCAUUAAAGCGGUACGUGAGCUGGGUUCAGACCGUCGUGAGACAGGUCGGUCUCUAUCCAGUGUGGGCGUAAGGGGUUUGAGGGGAGCUGACUCUAGUACGAGAGGACCGAGUUGGACGGAGCGCUGGUGUGUGAGUUGUCGUGCCAACGGCAUAGCUCAGUAGCCACCUCUGGACGGGAUAACCGCUGAAAGCAUCUAAGUGGGAAGCUCGCCCCAAGAUGAGACCCCUCAUCCGUAAGGAGUAAGACCGGUAGUAGACGACUACCUUAAUAGGCAGGAGGUGUAAGCGCUGCAAAGCGUGUAGCCAACCUGUACUAAUGGUCGAGGGCUUCC